UUCGAUUCCGGAGAGGGAGCCUGAGAAAUGGCUACCACAUCCAAGGAAGGCAGCAGGCGCGUAAAUUGCCCGAAUCCUGACACAGGGAAGUAGUGACAAGAAAUAACAAUACAGGGCUACUUCUAGUCUUGUAAUUGGAAUGAGUACGACUUACAUCUCUUCACGAGGAUCAAUUGGAGGGCAAGUCUGGUGCCAGCAGCCGCGGUAAUUCCAGCUCCAAUAGCGUAUAUUAAAGUUGUUGCAGUUAAAAAGCUCGUAGUCGGAUUUCGGGGCGGGGCGAGCGGUCUGCCGAUGGGUAUGCACUGUUCGGCGCGUCCUUCUUUCCGGAGACCGGUCCUACUCUUAGCUGAGCGGGGUCGGGAGACGGAAUAUUUACUUUGAAAAAAUCAGAGUGUUUAACGCGGGCAUCUCGCUUUUGAAUGGAUUAGCAUGGGAUAAUGAAAUAGGACUCGGGUGCUAUUUUGUUGGUUUCGAAAACCGGAGUAAUGAUUAAAAGGGACAGUCAGGGGCACUAGUAUUCUGUUGAGAGAGGUGAAAUUCUCAGACCAAUGGAAGACGAACCACUGCGAAAGCAUUUGCCAGGGAUGUUUUCACUGAUCAAGAACGAAAGUUAGGGGAUCGAAGACGAUCAGAUACCGUCGUAGUCUUAACCAUAAACCAUGCCGACUAGGGAUUGGAGGGUGUUCUAUUUGACUUCUUCAGCACCUUACGGGAAACUAAAGUCUUUGGGUUCCGGGGGGAGUAUGGUCGCAAGGCUGAAACUUAAAGGAAUUGACGGAAGGGCACCACCAGGAGUGGAGCCUGCGGCUUAAUUUGACUCAACACGG
Molecule: ribosomal RNA, 827 nt
Filed under: uncultured eukaryote
Lineage: Eukaryota
Description: SSU rRNA
Rfam family: Eukaryotic small subunit ribosomal RNA
Source: RNAcentral